This 717-nucleotide ribosomal RNA is filed under the name uncultured Eubacteriales bacterium. RNAcentral's name for it is "bacterial SSU rRNA". It matches the Rfam family "Bacterial small subunit ribosomal RNA", at positions 60 to 780 of the family's 1533-position model. The record is from RNAcentral. Lineage: Bacteria; Bacillati; Bacillota; Clostridia; Eubacteriales.
AGUCGAACGAUGAAACUUAGUAGACUUCUUCGGAAUGACACUAAGCGAAUUAGUGGCGAACGGGUGAGUAACGCGUGAGUAACCUGCCUUACACAAGGGGAUAGCCUUUGGAAACGAAGAAUAAUACCCUAUAAAACUAUAAAAGCACAUGCUAGAAUGGUCAAAGUGCUAGCGGUGUAAGAUGGACUUGCGUCUGAUUAGCUAGUUGGUGAGAUAAAAGCUCACCAAGGCAACGAUCAGUAGCCGGCUUGAGAGAGUGUACGGCCACAUUGGGACUGAGACACGGCCCAGACUCCUACGGGAGGCAGCAGUGGGGAAUUUUGCACAAUGGGGGAAACCCUGAUGCAGCGACGCCGCGUGAUUUAGAAGGCCUUCGGGUUGUAAAAAUCUUUUGUAUAGGAAGAAAAUGACAGUACUAUACGAAUAAGGUCCGGCUAAUUACGUGCCAGCAGCCGCGGUAAUACGUAAGGACCGAGCGUUGUCCGGAAUCAUUGGGCGUAAGGGGUACGUAGGCGGCUAGAAAAGUUAGAAGUCAAAGGCUAUAGCUCAACUAUAGUAAGCUUCUAAAACUAUUUAGCUUGAGAAAUGGAAGGGAAAGUGGAAUUCCUAGUGUGGCGGUGGAAUGCGCAGAUAUUAGGAAGAAUACCGGUGGCGAAGGCGACUUUCUGGCCAUUAUCUGACGCUGAGGUACGAAAGCGUGGGUAGCAAACAGGAUUA